RNAcentral lists this small RNA (551 nucleotides) under Colletotrichum brasiliense. RNAcentral's name for it is "eukaryotic LSU rRNA". The stretch from base 249 to 402 matches the Rfam family "5.8S ribosomal RNA". The record is from RNAcentral. Lineage: Eukaryota; Fungi; Ascomycota; Sordariomycetes; Glomerellales; Glomerellaceae.
UUUGGAAGUAAAAGUCGUAACAAGGUCUCCGUUGGUGAACCAGCGGAGGGAUCAUUACUGAGUUACCGCUCUAUAACCCUUUGUGAACAUACCUACAACUGUUGCUUCGGCGGGUAGGCCGUCCCCUGAAAAGGACGCCUCCCGGCCCGGACCGGACCCCCCGCGGGACCGGACCCGGCGCCCGCCGGAGGAUAACCAAACUCUAUUGUAACGACGUUUCUUCUGAGUGGCAUAAGCAAAAUAAUCAAAACUUUUAACAACGGAUCUCUUGGUUCUGGCAUCGAUGAAGAACGCAGCGAAAUGCGAUAAGUAAUGUGAAUUGCAGAAUUCAGUGAAUCAUCGAAUCUUUGAACGCACAUUGCGCCCGCCAGCAUUCUGGCGGGCAUGCCUGUUCGAGCGUCAUUUCAACCCUCAAGCUCUGCUUGGUGUUGGGGCUCUACGGUCGACGUAGGCCCUCAAAGGUAGUGGCGGACCCUCCCGGAGCCUCCUUUGCGUAGUAACAUUUCGUCUCGCACUGGGAUCCGGAGGGACUCUUGCCGUAAAACCCCCCA